This 806-nucleotide ribosomal RNA is filed under the name uncultured bacterium. RNAcentral's name for it is "bacterial SSU rRNA". It matches the Rfam family "Bacterial small subunit ribosomal RNA", at positions 1 to 807 of the family's 1533-position model. The record is from RNAcentral.
CCCUUAGAGUUUGAUCCUGGCUCAGGAUGAACGCUGGCGGCGUGCCUAAUACAUGCAAGUCGAACGCUUCACUUCGGUGAAGAGUGGCGAACGGGUGAGUAAUACAUAAGUAACCUGGCAUCUACAGGGGGAUAACUGAUGGAAACGUCAGCUAAGACCGCAUAGGUGUAGAGAUCGCAUGAACUCUAUAUGAAAAGUGCUACGGGACUGGUAGAUGAUGGACUUAUGGCGCAUUAGCUUGUUGGUAGGGUAACGGCCUACCAAGGCGACGAUGCGUAGCCGACCUGAGAGGGUGACCGGCCACACUGGGACUGAGACACGGCCCAGACUCCUACGGGAGGCAGCAGUAGGGAAUUUUCGGCAAUGGGGGAAACCCUGACCGAGCAACGCCGCGUGAAGGAAGAAGUAAUUCGUUAUGUAAACUUCUGUCAUAGAGGAAGAACGGUGGAUAUAGGGAAUGAUAUCCAAGUGACGGUACUCUAUAAGAAAGCCACGGCUAACUACGUGCCAGCAGCCGCGGUAAUACGUAGGUGGCGAGCGUUAUCCGGAAUUAUUGGGCGUAAAGAGGGAGCAGGCGGCACUAAGGGUCUGUGGUGAAAGAUCGAAGCUUAACUUCGGUAAGCCAUGGAAACCGUAGAGCUAGAGUGUGUGAGAGGAUCGUGGAAUUCCAUGUGUAGCGGUGAAAUGCGUAGAUAUAUGGAGGAACACCAGUGGCGAAGGCGACGAUCUGGCGCAUAACUGACGCUCAGUCCCGAAAGCGUGGGGAGCAAAUAGGAUUAGAUACCCUAGUAGUCCACGCCGUAAAC